CUUCACUUGUCAAAGACUCAAUUUUUUAUUUCCUGGAGUCUUCUUAAACGACCACUUCUCAGAACAGAUUCAAGAACCACAUAUUCAAGAAUCUCACCACUUUGGGAUUUGAGUGAAAUCGCCUGUAAGCAAGAACAACAGGAAGGAGGUAAGUGAUCUUGCUCUAGUGCAGAGGCAAAGGUGAGGCUUUAGGAGCGACAUUUAACCAGGCACUUGCAGUCCGUACACAGUGUGGUAACAGAGGAGAGCUGAUGCUGAAGAACAGGAAGCUUUCUCAAUCCCCAGCACUGCUGGAGAAACGACACCCAGAUAUGCUCCGAUACAACUUCCUUGUACAGGUCUAAAGUCUAGAAUCAGACGUUUUGAUAGGAAUCUAAAAUAUAACAGUUAUUGUAUUUCUGCCCAGUGCUGUGCCAAUAAGCAGGUUUAAGAGUUCAAGAAAUAGCUUAAUACAACUGGAGAGAUUUUGGGGAGAGCACUUCCUGGUAGCAAGAAUUAAACACCGAAAAAUUAAGGAGCUGGACCUUCAGCAGGUCUCUGAAGAGGGAGCCAGAUUUCAAACCCAACCUGACACAAGGAUUUGUACACAUGGGGGAAAGGCAGCAAAAAAAAAAAAAAGUAACUUAAAAGAUUAAAAUCUUGAAUCUAACAAUGCCAUUUUAACAAUUUCAAGGAAUGCAAGGGACUGUUAUAUUGGUAUCUGAACUAUAUCUAUAAA
Molecule: long non-coding RNA, 718 nt
Organism: Neofelis nebulosa (Clouded leopard)
Lineage: Eukaryota; Metazoa; Chordata; Mammalia; Carnivora; Felidae
Exons: 3
Source: RefSeq, a predicted model, not a curated record